UCGAGAAUAGUCUACAAUGGAUGAAAGUCUGAUAGUGCGACGCCGCGUGAACGAAGAGACCUUUCGGGGUGUAAAGUUCUUUUCUGUGCGAGCAGUGGUGGUUACAGUAAUAUGGUGAUCACUUUGAUAUUAGUACAGGAAUAAGCCACGGCUAACUACGUGCCAGCAGCCGCGGUAACACGGGGGUGGCAAGCGUUGUCCGGAAUUACUAGGCGUAAAGGGCAGGUAGGCGGAUCAGUAAGUCGGACGUUUAAUCCUCGGUCUUAAGCUGAGACAUGCGUUUGAUACUGUUUAUCU
This 297-nucleotide ribosomal RNA is filed under the name uncultured prokaryote. Its description in RNAcentral is "partial 16S ribosomal RNA". It matches the Rfam family "Bacterial small subunit ribosomal RNA", at positions 355 to 642 of the family's 1533-position model. The record is from RNAcentral.